AACGAACCUGUUCUGGUUUUGUCCUGAACCUUAAAGCCUCCAUCUAACACCCAAACGCGUCAGAAGCUGGAGAUCGGCGACACUAAGGCUAUGUUUGGGGGGGCUUUUUAGCUCCCCUGCUUAUAAGCACAAGAGGACUAUGCGUUUGGUUAGCUGACUUAUGCUCAGCUUAUUCGAAAAGCCACUACAGCUUCUCUCCAAAAGGAGAAGCUGCCUGACCCCAGCUUUCAGAAGCCAGAAGCCAGCAGCUACUGUAGCGGUACUUACUGUAGCUAAAUGAAUGUUUCAAAAUGACAGAUUCUAUCCUUCCUUGGGAGAGGCAAUUACGGAUUGCCAUCAAGCCCCUUCGAGAUGAGGUCAGAGGCUGCAUAGCAUUUUCAUCUCUAUCCCAUCUCCACUCUCCCUCUAACGCCGCCGGGCUCUCAUCACAGACGCCGCCUCACUCUUCCUUUAACGCCGCCUCCCUCUCCCUCUGACGCCGCCUCAGCCUCUCAUCACGAAAACCCCAAGCACAGAGCAAUCGAACCAAACACAAUCACUUCAUGACCUGAACCCACAUCCUCCCCCAAUUUCAGAUCGGGAAGCCAGAUUUCUUCAUCCUCUCUUUACUACAGAAUGCAUCCUGGUGAGGAAAAGCUAGUUUGUCUCUCUUGAUUUUCGAUCUCCCAAAUCAAUUUUUCUUUCAGCUUGGUUGAAUAAAAUUUCAAAAACCUGUUUGGGUUCUAGUAUUCAUUUCAAUUUCAAGAUUAUGUGUGUGAUUUACAAACUUGGGUUUGAUUUCUGGGCAGCAAAACGUACGAUUUGGUUGAAUUUGUUUUUCAGACUUCAUGUGCUUGUGAUUUUGUUUGAUGGGUUUAAUUCCUCUUCUAUGGUUUUGGUAUUCAAGCUCUUGUAUUUAGUAUUCAAGCUUUUGGUAUGCAAGUUGAUCUGGUUUUCGUGUAUGAUACAUUAUAAUCUUGCAUCUCGGGUUUGAUUGCUUCUGUAUGAUUAUGAUUCGCAUGCUUACACAAGCGGAUAAUUAGAGGUUGAAGAACGCGUGCUUGCUGUAUGAUUAUGACUCGCAUGCUUACAACUCUAAUCUCUUGUAUUACAGACAUGAAACCUUCACAGCUAUGUCAUUAUUGUACAUGGAUACUCUCUCACACUACUAGAUCAUUCAGAGUACAUAUUUUUGGAAACCAAAAGCUUUAUUGAGGAGCACUUACUAAAGUGGACUAGGCUUCGCAUAAACUUGAAACAGCUCACACAUCUUUUGCAAUUCUCUUACCCCCCAAAAAACUUGCCCAGAUUAGGCAUUACCUUCGUCUUUUUCUGAAUGGGGAAAUUAUUCAUAUGCCGAGCUCCAGGAGAGGCAGAUUUUUGGAACAUUGGCUUGCCUUGAUGGAGUUAAAUUUCCAUUAGUUCGCAGGUUUCCAGAUGCUGCAUUUAUGUCCCUCAUUUGUCUCCAAAUUUGUAAUUCUUGUCCCUCAAGCAUCCUCUGUCCAGAAGGUUGUCUUUCAGGUCUUUGGAACGGCGUGUUGUCAUUCUUUCUCUUGGUUCUAAGUAGUUUUGGUUCUGGGUUGCGCAGCAUCUAAGGGAUAUCUGUAGCAUUGAUAAAUCUGAAGCAAUAUGAUUAUUCGAGGAUGUAAUUGUUCCAUAAACUUAUUAUCAUUGUCUCUGCUCUUAGUAGAUAGGUUAGCAAUGAUAAUACUUUAGGUUCAUUGCUUCACUUUCUUAAUUCACGUUUUCUGACCCAGCCAUACCAAACAUAGCCAUAAUAGGCAGCCUCUUAAAAGAGCUACAAUCCUAAACUAGAAAUUUAUCUAGUAUGUGCGGGAUGGGAAGGGUCUGCUCAUGAUACGAGAGUGUUUCUAUCGGUACUUCGAGAUCCCGAAAUGAAUUUUCCUAAACCUCCACUAGGUUAUGGGUCAAGUGGUGAGAUAGAAAUGGAUGAUGAUGUACAAGAAGAAUAUCAUGGUCACGGUGCACAAGAAAUGGAAGCAAUAAGAAAUAGCAUUACUCAAAGUUUGAUGAAUGCGCGUAAUAACGUGAACAUUUGAUGUGAACU
This is a long non-coding RNA of Rosa chinensis, 2047 nucleotides long. RefSeq lists it as uncharacterized. NCBI's taxonomy places the organism in Eukaryota, Viridiplantae, Streptophyta, Magnoliopsida, Rosales, Rosaceae. The record is from RefSeq and is a predicted model, not a curated record. The transcript is spliced from 4 exons.